Molecule: ribosomal RNA, 318 nt
Filed under: Parthenolecanium corni
Lineage: Eukaryota; Metazoa; Arthropoda; Insecta; Hemiptera; Coccidae
Description: partial 28S ribosomal RNA
Source: RNAcentral
GAACAGAGCCCGUGAAUCCGGGCGCGCGGAAUUCAGGACCGACGGCCGGGCGCGCUUCGCGGCUCGCUCGGUCGUCGAUUCGAUAUUUCCGCCGCCGACCCUCAACCGAGGGUGUCGGACGUCGCGACCCGUUCGCCCGUCGAUGCUCAGGAGCGCGUUUCAAGUUCGUUUGCGCGGCCGUUUCGGCGGUCGCGCGGCGAUGGCGCGUUUCCGCUGCGUCGGCGCGGACGGUAGCUUUGCGCGCGGGUAAUCGGCGCGGUCCUUCGCCCGGCGUCUCGUACGUCGGGCGGCGCUCGCGUCGACGCCGGUCAGCGACGA